AUUUUAUUAGAUGAUGACUGUCACGUGUCAUGUUCUGAUUGAUCAAUGAAAACAACAAUACAUUUUAUUUUUAAUAGAAUUGACAUCCAAUCAAAACAUAAUACAUGACAAUCAUCAUAA
Non-coding RNA from Glycine soja, 120 nucleotides. The record is from Rfam. Lineage: Eukaryota; Viridiplantae; Streptophyta; Magnoliopsida; Fabales; Fabaceae.